UGCAAUCUAUGAUGAUUUUUUUCGAAUUAUCAUGAGUUAAUUUCAAUGAUUAAUUUGAUAAAUAAUCACCAACUUUCAGCUGAGAUUGCA
Molecule: non-coding RNA, 90 nt
Organism: Spinacia oleracea (spinach)
Lineage: Eukaryota; Viridiplantae; Streptophyta; Magnoliopsida; Caryophyllales; Amaranthaceae
Source: Rfam